RNAcentral lists this ribosomal RNA (820 nucleotides) under Clostridioides difficile. RNAcentral describes it as "bacterial LSU rRNA". It matches the Rfam family "Bacterial large subunit ribosomal RNA", at positions 1822 to 2640 of the family's 2925-position model. The record is from RNAcentral. Lineage: Bacteria; Bacillati; Bacillota; Clostridia; Peptostreptococcales; Peptostreptococcaceae.
UCUGCUAAGUCGCAAGACGAUGUAUAGGAGCUGACGCCUGCCCGGUGCUGGAAGGUUAAGGGGAUCUGUUAGAGCAAUCGAAGCAGUGAACUUAAGCCCCAGUAAACGGCGGCCGUAACUAUAACGGUCCUAAGGUAGCGAAAUUCCUUGUCGGGUAAGUUCCGACCCGCACGAAAGGCGUAACGAUUUGGGCACUGUCUCAACAACAGACUCGGUGAAAUUGUAAUUCCGGUGAAGAUGCCGGAUACCUGCGACAGGACGGAAAGACCCCAUGGAGCUUUACUGUAGCUUGACAUUGGGUCUUGGUACUACAUGUACAGGAUAGGUGGGAGGCUUUGAAACCAGGACGCCAGUUUUGGCGGAGCCAUCCUUGGGAUACCACCCUUGUAGUACUGGGACUCUAACCAUAGGCCAUGAAUCUGGUCUUGGGACACUGUCAGGUGGGCAGUUUGACUGGGGCGGUCGCCUCCCAAAAGGUAACGGAGGCGCUCAAAGGUUCUCUCAGUACGGUCGGAAAUCGUACGUAGAGUGUAAAGGCAAAAGAGAGCUUGAUUGCAAGACAUACAGGUCGAGCAAGGAUGAAAAUCGGACUUAGUGAUCCGGUGGUUCUGCGUGGAAGGGCCAUCGCUCAACGGAUAAAAGCUACCCUGGGGAUAACAGGCUUAUCUCCCCCAAGAGUCCACAUCGACGGGGAGGUUUGGCACCUCGAUGUCGGCUCAUCACAUCCUGGGGCUGUAGUAGGUCCCAAGGGUUGGGCUGUUCGCCCAUUAAAGUGGUACGCGAGCUGGGUUCAGAACGUCGUGAGACAGUUCGGUCCCUA